UUAAACACUCUCAGGGUCGACACAGGGGGACAUCCGUGUUACUACCGAACUGAUCGGUAGUGUAUUCGGCAUACCUUCUAGAGGGGACCCAAUCCCAGAAUUGCAGAAGAAAAAUGCAUCCCAUCUGGCACUUAAGAGACAAUUCCAGAAGAAAACAACAACACAACUGCGGGACUUUGUCUUUGCCUGUCCAAUGGAGACCGAGCAACAAAGGAUGGCUUUU
Molecule: non-coding RNA, 223 nt
Organism: Arachis ipaensis
Lineage: Eukaryota; Viridiplantae; Streptophyta; Magnoliopsida; Fabales; Fabaceae
Source: RefSeq, a predicted model, not a curated record